Molecule: ribosomal RNA, 484 nt
Filed under: uncultured bacterium
Lineage: Bacteria
Description: partial 16S ribosomal RNA
Rfam family: Bacterial small subunit ribosomal RNA
Source: RNAcentral
AUUGAACGCUGGCGGCAGGCCUAACACAUGCAAGUCGAGCGGAUGAAGGGAGCUUGCGCCUGGAUUCAGCGGCGGACGGGUGAGUAAUGCCUAGGAAUCUGCCUGGUAGUGGGGGAUAACGUCCGGAAACGGGCGCUAAUACCGCAUACGUCCUGAGGGAGAAAGUGGGGGAUCUUCGGACCUCACGCUAUCAGAUGAGCCUAGGUCGGAUUAGCUAGUUGGUGGGGUAAAGGCCUACCAAGGCGACGAUCCGUAACUGGUCUGAGAGGAUGAUCAGUCACACUGGAGCUGAGACACGGUCCAGACUCCUACGGGAGGCAGCAGUGGGGAAUAUUGGACAAUGGGCGAAAGCCUGAUCCAGCCAUGCCGCGUGUGUGAAGAAGGUCUUCGGAUUGUAAAGCACUUUAAGUUGGGAGGAAGGGCAGUAAGUUAAUACCUUGCUGUUUUGACGUUACCAACAGAAUAAGCACCGGCUAACUUCGUA